RNAcentral lists this ribosomal RNA (433 nucleotides) under uncultured bacterium. RNAcentral's name for it is "partial 16S ribosomal RNA". It matches the Rfam family "Bacterial small subunit ribosomal RNA", at positions 29 to 507 of the family's 1533-position model. The record is from RNAcentral.
AACGAACGCUGGCGGCAUGCCUAACACAUGCAAGUCGAACGAGACCUUCGGGUCUAGUGGCGCACGGGUGCGUAACGCGUGGGAACCUGCCCUUAGGUUCGGAAUAACUCCCCGAAAGGGGUGCUAAUACCGGAUAAUGUCUUCGGACCAAAGAUUUAUCGCCUUUGGAUGGGCCCGCGUUGGAUUAGCUAGUUGGUAGGGUAAAAGCCUACCAAGGCGACGAUCCAUAGCUGGUCUGAGAGGAUGAUCAGCCACACUGGGACUGAGACACGGCCCAGACUCCUACGGGAGGCAGAAGUGGGGAAUAUUGGACAAUGGGCGAAAGCCUGAUCAAGCAAUGCCGCGUGAGUGAUGAAGGCCUUAGGGUUGUAAAGCUCUUUUACCCGGGAUGAUAAUGACAGUACCGGGAGAAUAAGCUCCGGCUAACUCCGUG